UGCUUACCAUGCAAAUCUAUGUAUGAAAUGUAAGCUUGCUUACAUAGACUACAUGGUGGACUGGUGAGUAACGUGUAAAGAACUUACCUCUUAGACUGGGAUAACCAUUAGAAAUGAUGGAUAAUACUAGAUAUUAUUAGUAGUAGGCAUCUACUAUUAAUGAAAGGAGAGAUUGCUAAGAGAGAGCUUUGCAUCCUAUUAGCUAGUUGGUGGGGUAAAGGCCUACCAAGGCUAUGAUAGGUAGCCGGCCCGAGAGGGUGAACGGCCACAAGGGGACUGAGAUACGGCCCUUACUCCUACGGGAGGCAGCAGUGGGGAAUAUUGGACAAUGGAGGAAACUCUGAUCCAGCAAUUCUGUGUGCACGAAGAAGGUUUUCGGAUUGUAAAGUGCUUUCAGUAGGGAAGAAGAAGAUGACGGUACCUACAGAAGAAGCGACGGCUAAAUACGUGCCA
Molecule: ribosomal RNA, 453 nt
Filed under: Streptobacillus moniliformis
Lineage: Bacteria; Fusobacteriati; Fusobacteriota; Fusobacteriia; Fusobacteriales; Leptotrichiaceae
Description: bacterial SSU rRNA
Rfam family: Bacterial small subunit ribosomal RNA
Source: RNAcentral